AUACGUAGGGGGCGAGCGUUGUCCGGAAUUACUGGGCGUAAAGAGCUCGUAGGUGGUUUGUCGCGUCGUCUGUGAAAUUCCGGGGCUUAACUCCGGGCGUGCAGGCGAUACGGGCAUAACUUGAGUACUGUAGGGGAGACUGGAAUUCCUGGUGUAGCGGUGAAAUGCGCAGAUAUCAGGAGGAACACCGGUGGCGAAGGGGGGUCUCUGGGCAGUAACUGACGCUGAGGAGCGAAAGCAUGGGUAGCGAACAGGAUUAGAUACCCUGGUAGUCCAUGCCGUAAACGGUGGGCGCUAGGUGUAGGGGUCUUCCACGACUUCUGUGCCGUAGCUAACGCAUUAAGCGCCCCGCCUGGGGAGUACGGCCGCAAGGCUAAAACUCAAAUGAAUUGACGGGG
Molecule: ribosomal RNA, 398 nt
Filed under: uncultured bacterium
Lineage: Bacteria
Description: partial 16S ribosomal RNA
Rfam family: Bacterial small subunit ribosomal RNA
Source: RNAcentral